This 1307-nucleotide long non-coding RNA is filed under the name Carassius auratus (goldfish). RNAcentral describes it as "lncRNA (ENSCARG00000069505.1)". The record is from RNAcentral. Lineage: Eukaryota; Metazoa; Chordata; Actinopteri; Cypriniformes; Cyprinidae.
ACAUGUUCAAAAUUGUCGAAUUUGUUGAGUCACAUGAGGUGGAGCUGGUUCCAGCCAUUUGGGUGGAGAAUGGCCAGUGCUAUUGGCCUAAUUCACUGAGGGGUAUGGCCCUUCACCUGGCCAUUAAAAACAAGACACCUCCUAACUGUGACUGGGGAAGUUGGGAAGUCUGAACAAUAUUUUUAACAGACAGCUAUGAAGAGGGCAGAAGGAAGGCUAAAGAGGCAGAGACCUGGUCAGACCUCCAGUCAGACGCAGAAAUGUCUGGACAGAAACCACCAAGGCGUAAAAUGAAGAGUGUUUGAAUUGGCUCACCUGGAGGUUGCUUACUGGAUUCAGAAGAGGAGUCUGGCCCACCCCCCAAGCAACGUCUUCCACCUGCCCCCACUGUAAACCUCCCUGUAGUCAUCCCAAACACCACUUUCACCCCUGUUCCAAUCACCACAUUGCCAGCAGCAGCAGCACCACCAUCACCACCACCACAAGGGUCAUAUACAGAGAUGUUGCAAAAUUGGCAGCCGAUGGACGAAGUCCCACCGCUGCGGAGUUGUCAGACGUUCCGAAUUGCCCCCCAGCAAUCAUCAGAACCAGCCCUGCUGAGGGAGGUUUUAACAAAAUUAGAGAUGGUGCUGGACCAGCAAACCACCAUCCUCAGAUUGUUGCAGCUGCGGGAAGACCAGGGACAGCUUUUGGACAUUGAGGAAGGUUUGCUGCCCCUGCAAGACCUUCCACGACUGCUCAGCCUUGAGCAAAGGAUUCAGCAGAGCCCAGAUUACAAGCAAAAACUGAUAAACUGUUUGGGGCUUAUUGGUGGGGCAGACGUGCGCAACUGCACCUGGCGCAUAUUAAAGAGGUUGAUUGCCAACUCUCUGGCGAAGAACCUUAAUUGGAGAAGAGUCAAUGGAAAGACUUCAGUGGCCACUCUUCAACUCCGAGAGGUUGUGAUUGGUAAGGAGACAGUAUCCCCCGAUUUUACAGACAAGUCUUAAGCCUAGUCCCGGACUAAAAUGUAAUUCUGAGCUAUUUCAACUGAAAGAAACUUGUACUGACUGAUCUUUAAAUAUAUCAGUGCCUUUGUUUUGUCUCAAGCUGCAUAACAAUUAUUUUUUUAUUAAGUCACAUUUAUAAAAAAAAUUGCUUAGAUGUCCUAAUUGAACUAUGGACUAAUCCUGACUUAGUCUAAGCCCUGACUGUGAAACCAGGCCUAUAUAUGUUUACAUACAAAGUUAGCUAUUUCUGUAGUGGGUACGAGUAAAUGCAGUUUACUUGCUAACACAUUUGCAGUUGUUAUUAUAAUUUUUUUUCUA